RNAcentral lists this ribosomal RNA (253 nucleotides) under uncultured bacterium. RNAcentral's name for it is "partial 16S ribosomal RNA". It matches the Rfam family "Bacterial small subunit ribosomal RNA", at positions 524 to 776 of the family's 1533-position model. The record is from RNAcentral.
UACGGAGGGUGCAAGCGUUAUCCGGAUUCACUGGGUUUAAAGGGUGCGUAGGUGGGCAGUUAAGUCAGUGGUGAAAUCUCCGGGCUCAACCCGGAAACUGCCAUUGAUACUAUCUGUCUUGAAUAUCGUGGAGGUAAGCGGAAUACGUCAUGUAGCGGUGAAAUGCUUAGAUAUGACAUAGAACACCAAUUGCGAAGGCAGCUUACUACCCGAAUAAUGACACUGAGGCACGAAAGCGUGGGGAUCAAACAGG